Molecule: non-coding RNA, 154 nt
Filed under: bovine gut metagenome
Source: RNAcentral
GGUGUCAACUCUUUUUUGACCUAACAGGGAAUCCGGUCAGAAUCCGGAGCGGUCCCGCCGCUGUAUGGGGAGCAAUCAUCAAAAUGUCACUGAAGCGCGAGCUUUGGGAAGGCGAUGAAAUGCGACGAACCUAAGCCAGAAGACCUGCCUGUCC